GAUGAACGCUGGCGGCGUGCCUAAUACAUGCAAGUCGAGCGAACAGACGAGGAGCUUGCUCCUCUGACGUUAGCGGCGGACGGGUGAGUAACACGUGGAUAACCUACCUAUAAGACUGGGAUAACUUCGGGAAACCGGAGCUAAUACCGGAUAAUAUAUUGAACCGCAUGGUUCAAUAGUGAAAGACGGUUUUGCUGUCACUUAUAGAUGGAUCCGCGCCGCAUUAGCUAGUUGGUAAGGUAACGGCUUACCAAGGCAACGAUGCGUAGCCGACCUGAGAGGGUGAUCGGCCACACUGGGAGUGAGACGCGGUCCAGGCUCCUACGGGAGGCAGCAGUAGGGAAUCUUCCGCAAUGGGCGAAAGCUUGACGGAGCAACGCCGCGUGAGUGAUGAAGGUCUGCGGAUCGUAAAACUCUGUUAUUAGGGAAGAACAAAUGUGUAAGUAACUAUGCACGUCUUGACGGUACCUAAUCAGAAAGCCACGGCUAACUACGU
This 496-nucleotide ribosomal RNA is filed under the name uncultured bacterium. RNAcentral describes it as "partial 16S ribosomal RNA". It matches the Rfam family "Bacterial small subunit ribosomal RNA", at positions 28 to 506 of the family's 1533-position model. The record is from RNAcentral.